UCCCUAGAAAAACUUCGUUGCUUUGCAGUGUUAGUGACCUCUUCCCUUUGAGGAUCGCUAGGUGGAGAUGGGGCAUGAGGAUCCUCCAAGGGAAAAGCUCAUUAUCACUCAGCAACAAUACUAG
This is an unclassified non-coding RNA of Dipodomys ordii (Ord's kangaroo rat), 124 nucleotides long. Ensembl annotates it as predicted gene, 27927. The record is from Ensembl. Lineage: Eukaryota; Metazoa; Chordata; Mammalia; Rodentia; Heteromyidae.